GCAAUACUCCCUCCGUCCCAUAUUAAGUGACUUUCUAUUACAUGUAUCUAGACGCUUUUUAGACAUAGAUACAUCCGUAUUUGGCAAAUUUGAGUCACUUAAUAUGGGACGGAGGGAGUAGAUU
Molecule: non-coding RNA, 124 nt
Organism: Brachypodium distachyon (stiff brome)
Lineage: Eukaryota; Viridiplantae; Streptophyta; Magnoliopsida; Poales; Poaceae
Source: Rfam